GAAAGGAGCGCUAAUACCGCAUACGUCCUACGGGAGAAAGCAGGGGACCUUUGGGCCUUGCGCUAAUAGAUGAGCCUAAGUCGGAUUAGCUAGUUGGUAGGGUAAAGGCCUACCAAGGCGACGAUCUGUAGCGGGUCUGAGAGGAUGAUCCGCCACACUGGGACUGAGACACGGCCCAGACUCCUACGGGAGGCAGCAGUGGGGAAUAUUGGACAAUGGGGGGAACCCUGAUCCAGCCAUGCCGCGUGUGUGAAGAAGGCCUUUUGGUUGUAAAGCACUUUAAGCGAGGAGGAGGCUACCUAGAUUAAUACUUUAGGAUAGUGGACGUUACUCGCAGAAUAAGCACCGGCUAACUCUGUGCCAGCAGCCGCGGUAAUACAGAGGGUGCGAGCGUUAAUCGGAUUUACUGGGCGUAAAGCGUGCGUAGGCGGCCAAUUAAGUCAAAUGUGAAAUCCCCGAGCUUAACUUGGGAAUUGCAUUCGAUACUGGUUGGCUAGAGUAUGGGAGAGGAUGGUAGAAUUCCAGGUGUAGCGGUGAAAUGCGUAGAGAUCUGGAGGAAUACCGAUGGCGAAGGCAGCCAUCUGGCCUAAUACUGACGCUGAGGUACGAAAGCAUGGGGAGCAAACAGGAUUAGAUACCCUGGUAGUCCAUGCCGUAAACGAUGUCUACUAGCCGUUGGGGCCCUUGAGGCUUUAGUGGCGCAGCUAACGCGAUAAGUAGACCGCCUGGGGAGUACGGUCGCAAG
Molecule: ribosomal RNA, 745 nt
Filed under: Acinetobacter radioresistens
Lineage: Bacteria; Pseudomonadati; Pseudomonadota; Gammaproteobacteria; Moraxellales; Moraxellaceae
Description: bacterial SSU rRNA
Rfam family: Bacterial small subunit ribosomal RNA
Source: RNAcentral